Molecule: long non-coding RNA, 607 nt
Filed under: Homo sapiens (human)
Lineage: Eukaryota; Metazoa; Chordata; Mammalia; Primates; Hominidae
Description: PREDICTED lncRNA (TCONS_00127773)
Source: RNAcentral
AAAUGAGGAAACUCAAGCUGUAAUCUCUAGGAAACCAGAAGGAAUACUAUAAUCAAAACAGGGAAGAGAGGAGAGGGUGUGGUGGAGAAUGGAGCUAACUUCUUUAUUCUUUACAAACACCAGAUGCAGCCUAUACACCAAGAAGCUGUCUUCAGGACACCUCCAGGACAAAAACCAGGAAUGCCUACAAGGGGUACUGCAGGAAAACGGGAAGAGAGAAGUGCUGGGAAUGCAGAUGGAAAUGAACUGAUGUCCAAGAAAUUACACACACACAAAUGACAACUCCUCUUUUGGCUCUGAGAAGGAAAAGCAGUGAAAGUGACACCAGGGUCAGCUCUGAGCGUUGGCCAAGUACCUGGCCAGGUGCCUAAGGAGAGUCCCAGACUGAAACCUCUUCAUGAAAAAUUUACAAUGCUCCUCUGUGUUUUGGAGUCAGAGGGCAAUAGUAGCAAAUGGCAGACAGAAACCAUACUUUAGAUUUGCUGGCAGCUACAGAGGACAGAAAACACUUCCAAGGAUGGGAAGAAAAACCCUCAGCUGCAUCCCCAGGUUCUACAUUUCUGGCUUUAUAAAGAUACUAAUUGUCCUCACCAGCAGAAGCAUAGUA